GAGUUUGAUCCUGGCUCAGGAUGAACGCUGGCGGCGUGCCUAAUACAUGCAAGUCGAGCGAACUGAUUAGAAGCUUGCUUCUAUGACGUUAGCGGCGGACGGGUGAGUAACACGUGGGCAACCUGCCUGUAAGACUGGGAUAACUUCGGGAAACCGAAGCUAAUACCGGAUAGGAUUUUCUCCUUCAUGGGAGAUUAUUGAAAGAUGGUUUCGGCUAUCACUUACAGAUGGGCCCGCGGUGCAUUAGCUAGUUGGUGAGGUAACGGCUCACCAAGGCAACGAUGCAUAGCCGACCUGAGAGGGUGAUCGGCCACACUGGGACUGAGACACGGCCCAGACUCCUACGGGAGGCAGCAGUAGGGAAUCUUCCGCAAUGGACGAAAGUCUGACGGAGCAACGCCGCGUGAGUGAUGAAGGCUUUCGGGUCGUAAAACUCUGUUGUUAGGGAAGAACAAGUACGAGAGUAACUGCUCGUACCUUGACGGUACCUAACCAGAAAGCCACGGCUAACUACGUGCCAGCAGCCGCGGUAAUACGUAGGUGGCAAGCGUUAUCCGGAAUUAUUGGGCGUAAAGCGCGCGCAGGCGGUUUCUUAAGUCUGAUGUGAAAGCCCACGGCUCAACCGUGGAGGGUCAUUGGAAACUGGGGAACUUGAGUGCAGAAGAGAAAAGCGGAAUUCCACGUGUAGCGGUGAAAUGCGUAGAGAUGUGGAGGAACACCAGUGGCGAAGGCGGCUUUUUGGUCUGUAACUGACGCUGAGGCGCGAAAGCGUGGGGAGCAAACAGGAUUAGAACCCUGGUAGUCCACGCCGUAAACGAUGAGUGCUAAGUGUUAGAGGGUUUCCGCCCUUUAGUGCUGCAGCUAACGCAUUAAGCACUCCGCCUGGGGAGUACGGUCGCAAGACUGAAACUCAAAGGAAUUGACGGGGGCCCGCACAAGCGGUGGAGCAUGUGGUUUAAUUCGAAGCAACGCGAAGAACCUUACCAGGUCUUGACAUCCUCUGACAACUCUAGAGAUAGAGCGUUCCCCUUCGGGGGACAGAGUGACAGGUGGUGCAUGGUUGUCGUCAGCUCGUGUCGUGAGAUGUUGGGUUAAGUCCCGCAACGAGCGCAACCCUUGAUCUUAGUUGCCAGCAUUCAGUUGG
RNAcentral lists this ribosomal RNA (1144 nucleotides) under uncultured Bacillus sp. Its description in RNAcentral is "bacterial SSU rRNA". It matches the Rfam family "Bacterial small subunit ribosomal RNA", at positions 9 to 1134 of the family's 1533-position model. Lineage: Bacteria; Bacillati; Bacillota; Bacilli; Caryophanales; Bacillaceae. The record is from RNAcentral.